Molecule: unclassified non-coding RNA, 498 nt
Filed under: Zea mays
Lineage: Eukaryota; Viridiplantae; Streptophyta; Magnoliopsida; Poales; Poaceae
Description: misc RNA Zm00001eb387980
Source: RNAcentral
AGGCCAUACUAAUGGAUUCCAGGUUUUCUUUAUGGAGAACAGAGAACAAACACAAACAAAUCAGAUGGGACAUAAUGUUGCUCGCACACCAUGUGCAGACAUCUCAAACACCAUUAAUACAGGUGAUCAAAAUGGAUCAAACUCGUUACGACCAAUUGUUGAUGCUAAGGAACGUAAGAGGCAAAGAGAUAAGGAAAGAUAUGCCACGAUGUCCGAUGAACAGAAAAACGAGAAAAACAAAAAGCGUCGAGAAGCACGUCUACAGAAUAAAGAGUUGAAUAAUAAGCGUCCUGAAGCGCGUCAACGAAACAAUUGCCAAAAUAUGAUGCCCAACGCGCCAAGAGGUGGAGACGAAAAAGUAAAUGUUGAUCCAAAUGAUGAUUCCGACUGUUUGCAUAUCAAUUAUACAGUACAGUCGAACGACAUUGACGCAACGACAGAAGUUCUAACACCAGGACUGAGAAGUGGAACGCUGACAUCUUUGAGACAGUUUGAAAG